GAUAAUACAUAAUUCUAUUAACUGCAAUUUUAGUUCUGACAAGACAAAAAGCAAUGAAGAACCGCUGAAGAAUGCAAUAGAAGAAAUUCAAGUUUCAGCUUCCAUACACAUAAGCUAAAAAGAAUCACCUACACCAGUACACCCUUGAAAUAUAGAUCAUUCUUUACCUACUCUUCUUUACCCCUUUUUUUGUUUUCAGACAGCAUCAUUCUACUGCUUUUUAGUUAAGAAAUCAUGUAUCCAUGAACAGAUUUGACCUAAUAGACUAUCUGUUAUUGCCCAUACACAGUGACAAUAGUCUACAAACACGACUGACCGUGAUUUGAUCUCUGCUACUAACUCAGACACAGUGGAAUCACUGCAUGCUGAAUCUGAUAUUUCUGCCGUAAUAUCAGAUUUAGAAGCUCUAUUUGUGACCCCGCUUGGUCACUCAUUAGUGACAACUUAUCAUUUAUCAAGGAAGCCAAAAUACACAAAUACCUAUAACUAGAAAAUGAAGCAAGCAGAUACAAGUAGCAACUGGUAAAAGGAUUUCACUAAUAACAGAGCAAGGAUAUGUUAGUAACAAGUCAACCAUUCCAGGUUCCUCCGCCAAUGCUUGCAGCUCAUCAACAUCACCUUGAUUAUACGUUCCAAAAUGUUGACUGUCCGAUGACCGCCUA
Molecule: unclassified non-coding RNA, 662 nt
Filed under: Hevea brasiliensis (rubber tree)
Lineage: Eukaryota; Viridiplantae; Streptophyta; Magnoliopsida; Malpighiales; Euphorbiaceae
Source: RNAcentral